This 654-nucleotide unclassified non-coding RNA is filed under the name Hevea brasiliensis (rubber tree). Lineage: Eukaryota; Viridiplantae; Streptophyta; Magnoliopsida; Malpighiales; Euphorbiaceae. The record is from RNAcentral.
GCAUAUGUCGUGUUUCGUCAUCAGGUAAAGACUUAAUAUAAUAUCCAAUCUAAAUAUUGCAUGUGGCAAUAGUUUCAUCAAUUAAUUGAAUACGGCCAUGUGAUUCAAGUACUUAGAACUUUUAGGUAAAGAUUCACCACAUCUGGAUGGCUUUCAGCUGCUGAUGUUCUUCUAAUGAUUCUUUUUGAAAUUUUUUCAAGUAGUAACGCUGUAGUUUGGAUGGAAGAGGUUUUUGUCAUUUAACGGAAAGGCCUUAAAAAACACGUCAAGCUGGUAAGAACAAAAAUGAUCUCAAAGAAUGCCUUGUAUAAACUGCAGAAUUUGAUCUGUCACUAUAGCUGUUCACUGAUGAAAAUGGUAGCCUCUUCCUAUAGAAUGUAUUCUCUGCACCAAGAGAACAAGAGAAUGUUAGGAAAACAAAAAUAUAGGGAACUUAAUUGUAAAACGAAUAUGCAGCAUCAAGUUAUAAAACAAACAUGUGCUGAUUAUGGAUUGUUUUACUUUUUUUGUAUUGUUGCUUGUGCAGAGGGUAAACUCAAUCUCAAUGCACUAAUUAUGAUAGUUUCAAACUUGAAUAGCUUAACGAUCUCUUUUCUAGUCCAUCUAUAUUAAUCUUUUAUGUAUAAAUUGCAGAUUAUAAAUGUUUACAACCAA